RNAcentral lists this ribosomal RNA (253 nucleotides) under uncultured bacterium. RNAcentral describes it as "partial 16S ribosomal RNA". It matches the Rfam family "Bacterial small subunit ribosomal RNA", at positions 524 to 776 of the family's 1533-position model. The record is from RNAcentral.
UACGUAGGUGGCGAGCGUUAUCCGGAAUUAUUGGGCGUAAAGCGCGCGCAGGCGGUCUCUUAAGUCUGAUGUGAAAUCUCGCGGCUCAACCGCGAGCGGCCAUUGGAAACUGGGAGACUUGAGUGCAGAAGAGAAGAGCGGAAUUCCACGUGUAGCGGUGAAAUGCGUAGAGAUGUGGAGGAACACCAGUGGCGAAGGCGGCUCUUUGGUCUGCAACUGACGCUGAGGCGCGAAAGCGUGGGGAGCAAACAGG